AGUCCAUCCACUGCAUUUUUUCUUCAGCAUACGUAAGAGAGCGUUACCGCAUACUGAACAGUUUCGGAACGUCAACCCAAGAGUGCGACAGUCAAAACUUGAGGCGCGCAUAAACAGUGUGCGUGGUAUCUCAGGUAGAGGCGCGCGUUUGAUUCUUCACUCUGCACCUCUGCUGCGCUUCGAAAAAAGGGACAGCUCGGAAUACUGCUUGACCUCGACGUGCAAUGCCUUCUACCGGCCGGGGAGAAAUUUCGGUCGGAGGUGGGGAAGGGCAGGAUGGAGGACAAGGGGACUGAGGUCUGCGUGGACUGGAGACAAGAGCGCGCGAUGGAGAUGACUGCUCGCCUCUCGCACUUCAGCUCCAAGGUCGACGGCAGAAACUGUGAUGGGCUUGUCAACCACAACGGGGAAACUACGGAGAUAACAGUGUCACUGUCGGGGAAGAGGCUCAGCCCGAUAGAGGGGGGAAAUCUUUACAGACUGCGUGAAAGAAAGUUCCUUUUGGAAGACAAGAAGCGCCUCUGCACGUGGGCACUGGGAACCGCGUUAUUAGGGAUUCUGCUGAUGAUAUUACAUGCUGAGCUGUGCCCAGUAGUAUACCAACCAGGAUCCAUACAUGCCCUCUCCAUAAAUGGCCUCAUUAGCUUCUCCACUGGGUGUCUGCUCAUCCUCAUCAUUGCCUUCCAUUAUAAAGACAUCAGACUUUUCAUCAUUGACCACAACCAGGUGGACUGGCGCAUCGCCAUGACCAGUAACCGAGUGCUUGGCAUCUCCCUGGAGAUCAUUGUGUGUGCUAUCCAUCCUGUGGCCACCUACCUGAGGCCCAAUGUGGGGAACAGGUUAGGGGGGAAAUCAGAGGGAAAUUCCUCUGCUCCCCUCUGCUUGUCCUCCAGCCACAAAGAAGUCAUGCUAGAUGUGGAGUUGCUGCUGUCGGGACUGAUGUUCCUGAGGCUGUAUCUGGUGCACAGAGCUGUCCUGUUACACAGCAAAGUGCUCCUCAGUGCCUCUUAUAGAAGCAUCGGCUCCCUCAACAAUAUCAAUUUCACAUUCCGCUUCGUGCUCAAGGUGUUAAUGAACCAGUAUCCAGCCCGCACCCUACUGGUCUUCAUUAUGUUCUUCUGGCUCUCAGCAGCUUGGAUGCUGCGACUGUGCGAAAGGCAGGAACAGGUGGAGACAGGCGGUAUGGACACAGCAUUGUGGCUCAUCGCCAUCACCUUCCUAACAGUGGGCUAUGGAGAUGUGUCCCCUUUUACUAGCUGUGGCAAGGUGGUGUGUCUCUUCACAGGCGUCAUGGGUGUGGCAUGCACUGCUAUGUUGGUAGCAGUCAUGACUAAGAAGUUGGCUCUCAACAAAGGGGAGAAACAUGUGCACUUCUUCAUGAUGGACAUCCAGAUAUCCAAGAGAAUCCGGCAUGCGGCAGCCAAUGUGCUAAGAGAAUGCUGGCUACUACACCGCACCACUCAAUCCAAGGACAACAGUGGUGAGCAUCGCCAUCAUCAGAGAUGCCUGCUGGAGGCCAUCCAUGUUGCGCCCUGCGCUGCUAGAGGCCUGGACACCACUGUCUCACCUCGACCCUUGUCUACCCCUGGGGAGCCUACUGCCUGUCGGCGCAACACUACAACCCCCGGCUGCUGCCUAAAGGGACACUCCCUGAGAAGCUCUGAAGAAGCUUCCUUUAUUUUUUUCGCCCUCUCUGCGGGUUGUUUAUGUUGAGCUAUACCUCUCAAGGAGGAGAUUUGUGUUCAUCUUUUGCUUCAUAAGAAUUCUCAUUAAAGACUCUAUUUUCAUUGACAUCGCUCUUGGGUCCUCACUUACCUUCCUAACAUGAUCAGAUUAAAGGACUGAAAUAGUUCAUACUGCAUGCAAUAGUUCAUGGAUUAAAUCAUGUUAUUUAUUAUUUAAAAGCCCAUUGCAUUAGGCAUGGAAUUAUUCAGAUUUUAAAUCAUACAUAACAUUUCAGUUUCACAGAAAUCACAUUAUAACAGCAAAUUGUCAUCAUCUUCACCUGCCUGUCAGAGCAGAUGACACUAGUUGCACUAGUUGCAUAAUAUAUGGUCUUGUGGUUGUUGAUCUUGCGAUCAUUGCAAGAAUGUCAGUUCAGUGUGCUGCCAGCAUUUGGAACUGGCUAUUAAGUGCACUUGUUUCCCCAUCUCCCCAGCCUAUUGUUGUCACCAUUUUAUUGUUUACAACAUGUAUUCCAAUCUUCCGGCAGAUAAGGAGCUUAGUUUGGGAAAAGCCACUCAACUGGCUGGCCUCUUUAACUGGAGAGUAGGAAGUUCAGAUGUGUGCAUUUGCAGAGCAUUUUACAUUAUUAAUGACUAUAGGAAUCUGGCCGUAAAAAUGUUCCAUGUGUGUACUAUAUGUAAGACAGUAUAUUUGUCAGUAACAGUGGUUGGCAGAAAGGGUGGAGGGAUUUUUGACACCCUGUUUUACAGUUAGUAGAAACACCAAAAAUACUCUGGAAAGAAAGUGGGUGCUACAGUGACAGAUAAAUCAGCACGUCAGGGAGCAGACUGUCAAAGAGUUAGGAGUUCAUUCUGGUUUAUGUGUUUUAGUCUGUUCCUUUUUUUGCUCUCUGUCUACAUGACACGUGGAUACUGGUCAUUUUUGCAUGCUUCGGCAGUUACUGAUGGUUCCCCUACAAUAAAUGGUUUCCUUGUUGCUUUUUUGGGAAAAAGAUUUUUUAGAGAACUCUAAACGUAGGCCUGCAGCAAAACCUCUGCAUUAAGAAAUGUCAAGAGAUUGAUGUACUGUUGAAAACUGUCAUUACUAGCGGUCACAGAUUAAUCAGAAAAUCAUGAAUUUUAAAGAGGAUUGACAGUUUCAACACAGAGCAACGAAGCUGUCCAGAGUUCCUUACAAACUGUUGUUUCAGACGAUGUGAAUGAAUCACCAUGCUGACUGUAAUUAACUAUCUCCCAUAAUCUCUCUGACUAGAUUUCGUCACCUGCGGCUGAAGCAGAGAAAGCUAAGGGACUAUGCCAGUGAGAUGGUGGAUUUCUCAAAGAUGCAGAUGAUCAUGUGUGAUCUAAGUGCAAACUGGAACAGCUCUUAUCAUGAGCUUGAGCAGAGAAUCAUCUCCAUGG
RNA transcript from Xyrauchen texanus (razorback sucker), 3086 nucleotides. It is a transcript of the gene named intermediate conductance calcium-activated potassium channel protein 4-like, with no coding region annotated. The transcript is spliced from 8 exons. NCBI's taxonomy places the organism in Eukaryota, Metazoa, Chordata, Actinopteri, Cypriniformes, Catostomidae. The record is from RefSeq and is a predicted model, not a curated record.